Molecule: long non-coding RNA, 4894 nt
Filed under: Sus scrofa (pig)
Lineage: Eukaryota; Metazoa; Chordata; Mammalia; Artiodactyla; Suidae
Description: lncRNA (ENSSSCG00000055038.1)
Source: RNAcentral
UACAUUUUGGUAAGAUACGUAUUAGUAUAUAUAUAAUACAUAUGCACACAUCAGAUGUUAGCCCACUGAGCUUGACAAUGAGGGGGUAGUUGGCUGCAACUGAUGGGUGAGGAAAAGGGUUCAGAGAGGUUACAUGACCUUGGGUAAGUUUCUCAAUCAUUCACCUUUUUGUUUAUUCAUGCAUUCUUUCCCUCACCAACCUUUUUUUUUUUUUUUUUUUUUUUAAGGGCCACACUGUGGCGUAUGGAAGUUCCUGGGCUAGAGGUUGAAUUGGAGCUGCAGGUGCCAGCCUACACCAUAGCCACAGCAAUUCUGGAUCCAAGUCUCAUCUCCACCUACACUUCAGCUUGUGGCGAUGCCUGAUCUUUAACCCACUGAGUGAAGCCAGGGAUCAAACUUCCAUCCUUGGGGACACUAUGUCAGGUUCUUAACCUGCUGAGCCACAGUGGGAACUCUUCCCUCAACAACUUUAAUUGUAUAAUACGAUAAUGAAGAAAUGGAGGAGAGGAAUUCCCCAUGUGCCUCAUGGCUUAAGGAUCUGGGUUAUUCAAGCUGUGGCAUACUGCAUUACUGCAGCUCAUAUUCGAUCUCUGGUCUGGAACUUCCAUAUGCUGCAGGUGUGCCCCACUCCUGCAAAAGAAAGUGGAGGAGAAAGAACAAGAGGAAGUGAUCCUAAUGCAUGUAAAACACUAUUUCUUUAAGUGGUCACGUCACAUUGACCCCUAAACCACUUAUAAAACCCUGACUUUCAAUCUUGGCUUACUUUUUACUAGCUGUGUGAUUUUUGGUACAAAUAGUUAAUCUGCUUGGAGUCCCAAUUUCCUUAUCUGUAGAACAGGGUUAACAAUGACUCCCCAACCAUCCCACAAUACUCACUUUCACAUACCCUAAGUCGUCAACAAUCAUCUUUAUAUUCUUCAGGCCUUGCACAAAGACAGCAGGUAGGGCUUGGGAGCUAAGUAUAAUGACACAUGAAUAAAUAUAUAUUGCUAAAUAUAUAACUGCUACAUGGUAUGGUGAGCUUCAUGACAGUCUAAGCCUAACUCUGUGGCAGCAGAAAGAAGACAAUUCUUUUUGCCUGGGAGAAUUGUGAUAUCAGACUCAAACCAAACUCAAACCCAGGUUUUCAAAGAGGUGAGUAUUAGAAGAUGUAGUGUUUUUCUACUACAACUAGUAGCUUGUCUAUAUAUACUGUUAUAUUUAGUUCUGUCUAUCUGUCUUCCUAUCUAUCUGGCCAACUAUCUUCUCUCUGUAGAUAUAUGUUCUAUAUAUUAUGCUACUUAUCUAGCUCCUGAUCAUAAUAUUCUCAAAUUGUGGAAAUUUAAAUUUUACAAGUGAUCACUGAUUUUAGUGCUAGCAUUUUAAAACAUUUUCAACUUAUCUUUAAAGAAUUCAUCACACUGUAGAUAAAACACUGGCAUUUAUGAAUGCUUGAACAUGUAACUUUCUGGUAACAUCAUUUUCUACCAAAUCCUGCUUUGUGAGUGGAAGCUAUGUACAUGAAGAAGCAAUUAUAAAAAGCAACAUGCAGGAUGAGAACAUAUACCCAGUGACAACUGAGAAGCUUUGUUUUUUGUGAAUAAGUGAGGAUGCAUGAAAAAAAAAAUCCAUGCAUGCUGCCUUAUGUAGAGAAGGUACAUAAGUUCUCUCUGGGAUGUGGAUGGUAACAUUUUGUUUUCAUUAAUACCUCCAGAGUAGACAUAGAGAAUGUAUACACAGCAAGGAAAUAAUAACAAAUGGCACUGCCCCCUAAUGCAUCCUUAAGAACUAAUGCAGAGUUUCAAGGAAAAAUAUCCAACAAAGGGUGUAUGUCCUUCUGGAAAUGGUGGUAGACCCUGAUUGUGCUAAACCAUUUAAAACUGAACCUGCAAAAAGCCUGCAGGAUAAUUACAUGAUAGAAAACAGUCCUUAUUAAGAAGCUGCCUUAUCAUUGAACUCAUCAGCAAUAGCUGUUUUGAGUAGUGCUGUUGUAAAGCUAUGUGGAAAAGUCUUGACAUUUUGCCUUUUUGUAAUUUUUCCUUUAAAAAUUUUUAUUGUGCUUUAUCAACAGACUUUUAAGUGUUGGAAAUGCCCUAGAGAUCCUCUAGUCACCCUUGAACUCCAUGAAUUUUAUGUCUUUCUACAGUAUCAUUGAAAGAUUGCCCAACUCCUGCUUGAACUCUUCCAUCGACAUGCAGCUCACUAUUUUAUCUGAACUUCUCUUCAUUGUUGAAAAUUCUUCUUACAAAUGAUAGUAAUAUUAGACAGCCAAUAGGCUGCAGUACCUGUUCUGUAAUUUUAAAGAUUGAGGUUAUAUGAGCAUGGGCCUUGAGAAAGGAUGACAAAUUUGUGAAACGCUUUGUAUUUUUCAUUCAAAAAGAGAUUUAAAAGUAUAUUUAAUAAGCUCAGGAAAAAAAGAGCAAAUAAAACAUGACUUGGAAAAAAAAAAAAAAGGGAAGCUGCCUUAUGAGCUCGCAAAUGGCCUUUUUCUCCCUUGUUCCCAGCAUUUCAUGGUACUUUUCAGCUGAAGAAACUUUUAAAUACUCUUGACAAGUUGAUGAAAGAACUUUAUGCAAAGGUUGAGUCUCCCUUCAGCAAGCAUUUGUAAUACUGAUUAAAAACAAAUGCUAUUUCAAUGUGUCCCUUGGAAAUAGUCAACAAUCAUGUCAAGUCCUUUACUAAGCUUUAAUGCACAAACCCACAAGUACAAAUGCAAAAAGAGCAAAAACAAUGCUCUUUACAAAAGGAGUUUGCAAUUUGUUCUAUAAAAUUAAAUCUCUAUUCAUCCAAGUAUAUGAUUAUAUUUUCAUAUAGCAUUUAUAUUUUAAUAUUAGUUUUAUAAUAUUGUUUGUGUGUAUAUUUAAGAUGAGAAAUACAGGAAGGAUAAAUGUUUUUCAGUUUUUUGUUUGUUUGUUUGUUUUUGGUAUACAGGUCUGAAAUGUGUAGAAUGAAAAAACUCCUUUUAGUAUUUAGGGUUCAGAAAACAGAAUUCUCCCCAUUUGGUUCAAUGUAGGGAGAUUCAGGGAGCAAAUAAUGUUGAGGAAUCCAGAAACAAAGUAACACAAGGAAGUUUAAAGCGUUGGAUGGCGAUGGAAGAGAAAAUGAUCUUGUCAGAGCCCAGUAAGAGCUGGACUUGUGGUGGCCACACUGCUUAGCAGAGGGAUAGUUGUGGAGCAUCUCAGGUGCUGCCAGAGAUGCAGUCUGUUGCAGGGAGAGAAUGAGGGACGAAUGAGUUAGUACCUCCCUCCUCCUCCUGGAGGGUGCCUCCUCUUGGCGGACUCAACACAGAAGUCAGGAGGUGAGGAAACCUGGUGAUACGGUCACUGCUGGGCCACAACGGAAACUCCCUGUUUUUAUGUUUUUAAAGUGUUCUUUAGUUAAGUUAAUUUUAUGGACUUAAUAUUUUGUAGUCAGUUAUCUGUGAAUCAAAGCUUCCUGCUUGUUGCAUAUUUCUGUGUAUCUCCCUCUGGUAUCUUUUACAGUUUUUGCUUUAUCACCACUGAUGCAGCAUCAUUUGUCUCAUGCAUAUUCAUAACUGCUAUCUUUAUGCAGAUUGCACUCUUACCAGAGUAAACAGUCUUUCUUAGUCUAGUAUUUACUUCUUUUGCAGCCUGAAUUCUACUUUUUCAAGUGCCCUACUUUCUUUUUGUUUGUUUUUAUUACCCUAAAUUUUUCUGGGUUUGAUUUCCAUUGUGUCCAGUCUGAAAGUUUUCAUAGUUAUUCUCACGUGACAGAUACAUCUGGUUUUAGUUAUGUCCAUUUUUUUUUUUUUGAUGGGACCAGGAAUCUGUAUUAUAAACAUCUUUCUUAUCCCCAGUAUUUGAUUCUUUUGUACUUUUUUUAAAAAUUGUAAUCAAUUAUUAUUUCCCCAAUACAUUUUUUUUUUCUACUGUACAGCAUGGUGAUCCAGUUAUACAUACAUGUAUACAUUCUUUUUUUUGUUUGUUUUUUUUUAGGGCUGCACCCAUGGCAAAUGGAGGUGCCAGGCUAGGGGUCCAAUCGGAGUUGAAGCCAUUGGCCUACGCCACAGCCACAGCAAUGCGGGAUCUGAGCCCUGAGCCACGUCUGCAAACCACACUGCAGCUCAUGGCAACACCGGAUCCUUAAUCCACUGAGCAAGGCCAAGGAUCGAACUCACGUCCUCAUGGAUUCUAGUCUGGUUCAUUAACCACCCAGCCAUGAUGGAAACUCCAUGUAUACAUUCUUUUUUCUCACAUUAUCAUGCUCUGUCACAAGUGACUCCAAUUUUUUGUUCUAAAUGUUCUUUUAGUUUUUUUUUAAUUAUGUGUUGUUUGCUUUCUCUGGGUUUUCUUUGUCUAAUAGUUUACCCUUAUGAUUCUUUUAGAAAUGUAUGUGAUACUCUAUUUGUUUAAAUGAUGUAAAUGGCUUCUUCAUACGAAGUUGUAUGAUAAAGCACCUUCUCCAGGUCACCAGUCAAUGAGUGAUGGGGCCAUAAUUCAAAUCAUGUAACAUUUUUUUCUGCACAGUAUUUUUGUUUAAUUUUUAUUUGAAUCAGAAUAGGCUCUGAAGACAGUCAGUCUGGAGAUGUAUUUCACUGAUUUAUUUUAAACUUUCUCCAAUUCCCAACCUCUGUUCUGCAUCACAAUUUUGUUUAACUUUAUUUUAACAUUUAUUUAAUGCAAAAGUCAAAUGAAUAAAUGAGUGGCCUCAAUAAAUGAUUGAUAAAGAUGGAGAAUUUGGAAUUCCCAUCAUGGCUCAGUGGUUAACAAACCUGAGUAGUAUCUAUGAGGAUGUGGGUUUGAUCUCUGGCCUUGCUCAGUGGGUUGAUAAUCCGGCAUUGUUGUGAGCUGUGGUGUAGGUCGCAGAUGAGGCUUGGAUCCCUUGUUGCUGUGGCUGUGGUGUAGGCCGACAGCUACAGCUCCGAUUCAACCCCUAGCUGGGAACUUCCAUAUGC